CAGAGGGGGCAAGCGUUAUUCGGAAUUAUUGGGCGUAAAGGACGCGUAGGCGGCUUUGCAAGUGACGGGUGAAAUCCCUCGGCUUAACCGAGGAACUGCCUGUCAAACUGCAUGGCUUGAGACCAGGAGAGGUGAGUGGAAUUCCCAGUGUAGCGGUGAAAUGCGUAGAUAUUGGGAGGAACACCAGUGGCGAAGGCGGUUCACUGGACUGGUACUGACGCUGAUGCGCGAAAGCGUGGGGAGCAAACAGGAUUAGAUACCCUGGUAGUUCACGUCGUAAACGAUGAGUGCUUGGUGUAGCGGGUAUCGACCCCUGCUGUGCCGAAGUCAACACAUUAAGCACUCUGCCUGGGGAGUACGGUCGCAAGGCUG
This 372-nucleotide ribosomal RNA is filed under the name uncultured organism. Its description in RNAcentral is "bacterial SSU rRNA". It matches the Rfam family "Bacterial small subunit ribosomal RNA", at positions 526 to 896 of the family's 1533-position model. The record is from RNAcentral.